This 72-nucleotide transfer RNA is filed under the name Ictidomys tridecemlineatus (thirteen-lined ground squirrel). RNAcentral describes it as "Spermophilus tridecemlineatus (thirteen-lined ground squirrel) tRNA". It matches the Rfam family "tRNA". Rfam says of the family: Transfer RNA (tRNA) molecules are approximately 80 nucleotides in length. Their secondary structure includes four short double-helical elements and three loops (D, anti-codon, and T loops). Lineage: Eukaryota; Metazoa; Chordata; Mammalia; Rodentia; Sciuridae. The record is from Rfam by way of RNAcentral.
GGGGUUGUGGCUCAGCGGUAUAGCACUCACCUGGCAUGUGCGGGGACCUGGGUUCGAUUCUCAGCAGCACAU